This 253-nucleotide ribosomal RNA is filed under the name uncultured bacterium. RNAcentral's name for it is "partial 16S ribosomal RNA". It matches the Rfam family "Bacterial small subunit ribosomal RNA", at positions 524 to 776 of the family's 1533-position model. The record is from RNAcentral.
UACGUAGGGUGCGAGCGUUGUCCGGAAUUAUUGGGCGUAAAGGGCUCGUAGGCGGUUUGUCGCGUCGGGAGUGAAAUCCACUGGCUUAACUGGUGGCUUGCUUUCGAUACGGGCAGACUGGAGGUAUGCAGGGGAGAACGGAAUUCCUGGUGUAGCGGUGAAAUGCGUAGAUAUCUGGAGGAACACCGGUGGCGAAGGCGGCGUCCUGGACCAACACUGACACUGAUGAGCGAAAGCCAGGGGAGCAAACGGG